RNAcentral lists this small nuclear RNA (23 nucleotides) under Arabidopsis thaliana (thale cress). RNAcentral's name for it is "snRNA_05888". The record is from RNAcentral. Lineage: Eukaryota; Viridiplantae; Streptophyta; Magnoliopsida; Brassicales; Brassicaceae.
AACAUCAAUUUAUCAAGAAAUAA